CGAAUGGCUGCCUUCAGUGCUGGCUCUUAUGAGCAUGUGCACGUUGGUGGCUUUCAUCCAAUACCCAUGUGAACCUUUGGCCUCUUGCUAGCUUUGGCCGGCAGAGGAUUUUUACACACACACUCGAAUGUAAUGAAAACUAUUGUCGUGCGCAAGCACUAAUGUACAACUUUCAACAACGGAUCUCUUGGCUCUCGCAUCGAUGAAGAACGCAGCGAAAUGCGAUAAGUAAUGUGAAUUGCAGAAUUCAGUGAAUCAUCGAAUCUUUGAACGCACCUUGCACCCUUUGGCAUUCCCGAAGGGUAUGCUCGUUUGAGUGUCAUUGUACUCUCACACUCUCUGAUCCUUUGGAUUCAGGGAGCGGUGGACUUGGGUGUUUGCUGCUUUUCCUUGUGGCUCACCUCAAAUGUGUUAGUGCACCUCUUGGUUGGACAUAGAACGGCGUGAUAAGUGUCUUCGCCGGCACCUCGCAAGAGGGUGGCCAAUUGGGAGCUCUGUGCUUUCAAAUCGUCUUCGGACAAUCUCUGACAACUUGACCUCAAAUCGAGUAGGACUACCCGCUGAACUUAAGCAUAUCAAUAAGC
RNAcentral lists this unclassified non-coding RNA (584 nucleotides) under uncultured Sebacina. RNAcentral's name for it is "sequence contains ITS1, 5.8S rRNA gene, ITS2". The stretch from base 168 to 322 matches the Rfam family "5.8S ribosomal RNA". Lineage: Eukaryota; Fungi; Basidiomycota; Agaricomycetes; Sebacinales; Sebacinaceae. The record is from RNAcentral.